This is a long non-coding RNA of Silurus meridionalis, 1570 nucleotides long. RefSeq lists it as uncharacterized. The record is from RefSeq and is a predicted model, not a curated record. NCBI's taxonomy places the organism in Eukaryota, Metazoa, Chordata, Actinopteri, Siluriformes, Siluridae. The transcript has 2 exons.
UGUGUGUGUGUGUGUGUGUGUGUGUGUGUGUGUGCCUGCCUCUAACUGAUCCAGUGGCCUCUGAGACUGUAAAGGUCCUUAAAAUUGGGUUUUGUCUUUUAUCUUCUAGGCCCAGAUGAAAGAGCAGGGGUUUUUUUUCAUUUGAAGGCUCCCUAAUGCCAUAAUAAUUACUGAUGGCUGUGGGGGGUAGUUAGUGUGUGUGUGUGUGUGUGUGUGUGUGUGUGUGUGUGUGUGUGUAUAUGUUUGAUGGAAAAGGUGGAAAAGAGAAAGGGGGGUUCCUCCUCGGUCUUGAGCAGCAUUUUGAGCAAAGGAAAUGAUUGCGGGAAAUAAGCCUGGAAAAGACAAAGGAGGGAAGCGUGGCGUUUUCCGAGUGCCGCCUCACACGGGCUUGACACGUCGCCUUAACGAUUCUCUCCUCCAGCAUCCGACCUUGCGUCUGUGAACACGAACCUCGUACCAUCAGCAGCCGUGCGCGUGAGAGGGGCAUGAAAUCGAUCCUCUGAACCACCGAACUCGGCGAGGUGGGAGAAGAGACUUCGAAGAAUGUGACAGUUGUGCAUUUUCCUCAUGGGAAUUCAAACAAAGAGGUGGAGUCAGCAUUUCCGAGUGAGAAAACACUUGAAGUUUGAGCAGCUGUCAAAUAAGGCUGUUCAAAGAAAAAAAAAAAAACAACAACAACAACAACCUGGCCUCGUUGGCAUCCCGAACCUCAUAAAACGUGACAAAAGGAAGCAAACAAUGUGGACCACCAGCAUCCAGCCAAAGAGGACAUGCAGAAAUGAGAUGCCGAGUACUUAACCACCAGCAAACAACGGUUGGGAAGAAGUGUAGGAGGGGAGAAUGAAAAACAGCAGAGAGGAAAAAAACUGAGCUCUAAAAGGAGUGAUGAUAGAGUGCUGAGGUUGUGGAUACAACAAAACACGGACAUGAAAAGUUGGUUUCUAUCACAUUUUCCCAACAAAAAAUCCCAACACACUUUUGCAUGCAAGCUGCAUAUAGUGGUGCAAGAGUUAAUCAUUCAGGACUGAGAUGUUGCUCCUGGGGCUAUUUUUGUGCCCCUGUGUGUCCAAUCAUGAUCUAAUAAACAGUUAUCAAAUGUUGGAUGGAGACCGAGCCAUGAAGACAGCUGUGUGAAGAAGCUGGACGAUGAGCACGACUUCAUAAAUCAGCUACUCAUGUAGCAUACACCGUGGACUAAAUACUAAUUCAUGACUGAUGUGAGAGCAUUCUGAAGGUGCUCAUGCAACACGUCUCUUUCUUCAGAGCAAACAGGAGCUUCUGAUCCUCAAAAGACUCCUCCAGGGAGACACACACGAGCAUGCGCGUUUACAAGCAAGUCCAGCUUCCACUUCACACGGCACACACUCAGAUCAUUUUUUUAUCUUAAUCUCUCUUUUUCAGAUUUGUUUUCAUUUCUUUUUCUCUUUUUUUUUUUUUUUUUUUACAGGUCGCUUAAACUGCUGCAGGUGAACGAGCAGGUUGUUGCGCCGGAGCUAAGGGUUGCCAGAUCUCGUACACUUUUUUUUUCUUCCCUUUGAUACCUUCCCAUCUUAAAUUCUCUCCAAAAUGA